This 674-nucleotide small RNA is filed under the name Oryza sativa Japonica Group (Japanese rice). RNAcentral describes it as "sRNA Os06g0624950". Lineage: Eukaryota; Viridiplantae; Streptophyta; Magnoliopsida; Poales; Poaceae. The record is from RNAcentral.
GAAGGGUGCACGGUGGGGGAUGCCCUUCCUCCUCGACGGCCGGCACCGGCUGAUCGGCGGCGUGGUCGGCGUGAUCGGCGCCGUGUUGGACUUGCUGCCCUCGUCGUCGGACCACCGGAUCAUGCCCCGGUCGAACCGGCCGAGCUGAUCGUAGCCGGCCGCCGCCCUCCUCGCCUUCUUGGGGCUGAAGGAGUCGUAGUAGCUAGCUAGGGGUACCUUGCAGCCGAGGGAGCAGAAGCGGAAGGAGUCGGGGAGGCUGCGGCAGCAGAUCUCGCAGGUGUUGGUGACGCCCUUCCCGGGCCUCGCCUGCGGGCGGCCGUUGAGGAACACGAUCUUGGCGCUGUUGAUCACGUACGUCUGCACGUGCGAUAUGUCGAUCAGCUUCCCCACCUCCGACACCCUGAUCACGUUGUGACGAGGAAGAAGAAGACUAGAUGGUUAUUACCUGGACGACGUGGUGGUCGCGGUGGGCGGGGAGGCAGUAGGCGCAGAGGGCGUCGCCGGUGCAGCCGAGGCAGAAGAGGUUGCACUCGUUCUUGCUCAGCUCCGGGUGCGACGCGCACGCCACAAAGAAGCUCGUCGACAGCAGCGGCCGCAGCCACGGUGGCCCCAUGUCCUCCUCCGUCUGCUGCGCCGCCGCCAUCGCCUCGCCGCCACCGCCGUCGUCCGGGCUC